UCGAACAAGGAGGGAGGACUCGUGUCGCUGGCCCUGGAGUGAUUUCUGGGCAUGUUGCACCGGUCCUUCUUCCCUUUCACACACACACACACUUGUGCACACAUUUGUAGGUCCUCGAGAGAGGAUCUAUGUCUUUCACCAUCCCAACCAACGUAUGUCUAGAAUGUCAAUUAAUAAAUUA
This 181-nucleotide unclassified non-coding RNA is filed under the name uncultured Tylopilus. RNAcentral describes it as "sequence contains ITS1". Lineage: Eukaryota; Fungi; Basidiomycota; Agaricomycetes; Boletales; Boletaceae. The record is from RNAcentral.